GUACUCGAGCGGCGAACGGGUGAGUAACACGUGAGCAACCUGCCCUAGGCUUUGGGAUAACCCCGGGAAACCGGGGCUAAUACCGAAUAGGACCUGGCCUCGCAUGAGGCUGGGUGGAAAGUUUUUCGGCCUGGGAUGGGCUCGCGGCCUAUCAGCUUGUUGGUGGGGUGAUGGCCUACCAAGGCGACGACGGGUAGCCGGCCUGAGAGGGCGACCGGCCACACUGGGACUGAGACACGGCCCAGACUCCUACGGGAGGCAGCAGUGGGGAAUAUUGCACAAUGGGCGGAAGCCUGAUGCAGCGACGCCGCGUGAGGGAUGACGGCCUUCGGGUUGUAAACCUCUUUCAGCAGGGACGAAGCGUAAGUGACGGUACCUGCAGAAGAAGCGCCGGCCAACUACGUGCCAGCAGCCGCGGUAAGACGUAGGGCGCGAGCGUUGUCCGGAUUUAUUGGGCGUAAAGAGCUCGUAGGCGGCUUGUCGCGUCGACCGUGAAAACUUGGGGCUCAACCCCAAGCCUGCGGUCGAUACGGGCAGGCUAGAGUUCGGUAGGGGAGACUGGAAUUCCUGGUGUAGCGGUGAAAUGCGCAGAUAUCAGGAGGAACACCGGUGGCGAAGGCGGGUCUCUGGGCCGAUACUGACGCUGAGGAGCGAAAGCGUGGGGAGCGAACAGGAUUAGAUACCCUGGUAGUCCACGCUGUAAACGUUGGGCGCUAGGUGUG
Molecule: ribosomal RNA, 722 nt
Filed under: Micromonospora sp.
Lineage: Bacteria; Bacillati; Actinomycetota; Actinomycetes; Micromonosporales; Micromonosporaceae
Description: bacterial SSU rRNA
Rfam family: Bacterial small subunit ribosomal RNA
Source: RNAcentral